This 468-nucleotide ribosomal RNA is filed under the name uncultured bacterium. RNAcentral's name for it is "partial 16S ribosomal RNA". It matches the Rfam family "Bacterial small subunit ribosomal RNA", at positions 28 to 507 of the family's 1533-position model. The record is from RNAcentral.
GACGAACGCUGGCGGCGUGCUUAACACAUGCAAGUCGAACGGAAAGGCCCUGCUUUUGUGGGGUGCUCGAGUGGCGAACGGGUGAGUAACACGUGAGUAACCUGCCCUUGACUUUGGGAUAACUUCAGGAAAAUGGGGCUAAUACAGGAUAGGAGCUACUGCUGCAUGGUGGGGGUUGGAAAGUUUCGGCGGUUGGGGAUGGACUCGCGGCUUAUCCGCUUGUUGGUGGGGUAGUGGCUUACCAAGCCUUUGACGGGUAGCCGGCCUGAGCGGGUGACCGGCCACAUUGCGACUGAGAUACGGCCCAGACUCCUACGGGAGGCAGCAGUGGGGAAUAUUGCACAAUGGGCGGAAGCCUGAUGCAGCAACGCCGCGUGCGGGAUGACGGCCUUCGGGUUGUAAACCGCUUUCGCCUGUGACGAAGCGUGAGUGACGGUAAUGGGUAAAGAAGCACCGGCUAACUACGUG